UUGAACGCUGGCGGAAUGCUUUACACAUGCAAGUCGAGCGGCAGCGCGGGGCAACCUGGCGGCGAGCGGCGAACGGGUGAGUAACACAUCGGAACGUACCCAAUCGUGGGGGAUAACACAUCGAAAGAUGUGCUAAUACCGCAUAAGUCCUGAGGGAGAAAGCGGGGGAUCAGCAAUGACCUCGCGCGGAUGGAGCGGCCGAUGUCGGAUUAGCUAGUUGGUGGGGUAAAGGCCUACCAAGGCGACGAUCCGUAGCGGGUCUGAGAGGACGGCCCGCCACACUGGAACUGAGACACGGUCCAGACUCCUACGGGAGGCAGCAGUGGGGAAUUUUGGACAAUGGGCGCAAGCCUGAUCCAGCCAUUCCGCGUGAGUGAAGAAGGCCUUCGGGUUGUAAAGCUCUUUCGGCAGGGAAGAAACGGUUUGGGCUAAUACCCUGAGCUAAUGACGGUACCUGAAGAAGAAGCACCGGCUAACUACGU
RNAcentral lists this ribosomal RNA (482 nucleotides) under uncultured bacterium. RNAcentral's name for it is "bacterial SSU rRNA". It matches the Rfam family "Bacterial small subunit ribosomal RNA", at positions 29 to 506 of the family's 1533-position model. The record is from RNAcentral.